This 355-nucleotide unclassified non-coding RNA is filed under the name soil metagenome. RNAcentral describes it as "partial contains 5.8S ribosomal RNA, internal transcribed spacer 2, and large subunit ribosomal RNA". The stretch from base 1 to 121 matches the Rfam family "5.8S ribosomal RNA", at positions 35 to 154 of the family's 154-position model. The record is from RNAcentral.
GAUGAAGAACGCAGCGAAAUGCGAUAAGUAGUGUGAAUUGCAGAAUUCAGUGAAUCAUCGAAUCUUUGAACGCACAUUGCGCCCCUUGGUUAUUCCGAAGGGCAUGCCUGUUCGAGCGUCAUUAUCACCCCUCAAGCCCUGGCUUGGUGUUGGACUUUAGUUAUAGCUUUGCCUAUCAACUGGUCUCAAAGAUAGUGACGGCGCCCCAGAGGGAACCGGGUACGAGGAGCUUUUUACUAAGCAUGUAUCUGGGAUGACUCUGAUGGACGACGGUCUUGUUAUACUUUUACCUAAGUGUUGACCUCGGAUCAGGUAGGAAUACCCGCUGAACUUAAGCAUAUCAAUAAGCGGAGGA